Long non-coding RNA from Macaca nemestrina (pig-tailed macaque), 5686 nucleotides. NCBI's taxonomy places the organism in Eukaryota, Metazoa, Chordata, Mammalia, Primates, Cercopithecidae. The record is from Ensembl.
AUGCAGGUGUUCUUUAUACAUUUUCCUACAGGGCUCCUCUGUGGAGAAAUCCGAAAAGCAUAUGUAGAAUUUGUCAAUGUCAGCAAAUGUCCACUUACUGGAUUGAAGGUUGUUUCUAAACGUCCAGAGUUCUUUACUUUCGGUGGUAAUACUGCUGUUCUAACACCACUGAGUCCCUCAGCUUCUGAAAAUUGUAGUGCUUACAAGACUGUUGUGACAGAUGCUACCUCUGUGUGUACAGCACUCAUAUCAUCAGCUUCUUCUGUAGACUUUGGCAUUGGCACAGGAAGUCAACCAGAGGUGAUUCCUGUUCCCCUUCCUGACACUGUUCUUCUACCUGGAGCCUCAGUGCAGCUGCCGAUGUGGUUACGUGGGCCUGAUGAAGAAGGUGUCCAUGAAAUUAACUUUUUGUUUUACUAUGAAAGUGUCAAAAGGCAGCCAAAAAUACGGCACAGAAUAUUAAGACACACUGCGAUUAUUUGUACCAGUCGGUCUUUAAAUGUACGGGCCACUGUCUGCAGAAGUAAUUCUCUUGAAAAUGAAGAAGGCAGAGGAGGCAAUAUGCUAGUCUUUGUGGAUGUGGAAAAUACCAAUACUAGUGAAGCAGGUGUUAAGGAAUUCCAUAUAGUGCAAGUAUCAAGUAGUAGCAAACACUGGAAGUUACAGAAAUCUGUAAAUCUUUCUGAAAACAAAGAUGCCAAACUUGCCAGUAGGGAGAAGGGAAAGUUUUGCUUUAAGGCAAUCAGAUGUGAGAAAAAAGAAGCGGCCACACAGUCCUCUGAAAAAUAUACCUUUGCAGAUAUCAUCUUUGGAAAUGAACAGAUAAUAAGUUCAGCAAGCCCGUGUGCAGACUUCUUUUAUCGAAGUUUAUCUUCUGAAUUGAAAAAACCACAAGCUCACUUGCCUGUGCAUACAGAAAAACAGUCAACAGAGGAUGCUGUGAGAUUGAUUCAAAAAUGCAGUGAGGUGGAUUUGAAUAUUGUCAUAUUAUGGAAGGCAUAUGUUGUGGAAGAUAGUAAACAGCUUAUUUUGGAAGGUCAACAUCAUGUUAUUCUUCGCACUAUAGGAAAAGAAGCCUUUUCAUAUCCUCAGAAACAGGAACCACCAGAAAUGGAACUAUUGAAAUUUUUCAGGCCAGAAAACACUACAGUUUCCUCAAGACCAUCAGUAGAGCAGCUUUCUAGUCUCAUUAAAACGAGUCUUCAUUACCCAGAAUCAUUUAAUCAUCCAUUUCAUCAAAAAAGCCUUUGUUUAGUACCAGUCACCCUUUUGCUUUCCAAUUGUUCUAAGGCUGAUGUAGAUGUCAUAGUUGAUCUUCGGCAUAAAACAACAAGUCCAGAAGCACUGGAAAUCCAUGGGUCAUUCACGUGGCUUGGACAAACACAAUAUAAACUUCAACUUAAAAGCCAGGAGAUUCAUAGUCUGCAGCUGAAAGCGUGCUUUGUUCAUACAGGUGUUUAUAACCUUGGAACUCCUAGGGUAUUUGCCAAGUUAUCGGACCAAGUUACAGUGUUUGAAACAAGUCAGCAGAAUUCCAUGCCUGCCCUGAUCAUCAUCAAUAAAUACAAAUUUUCCUGUCUUGCUUCACACAGUUCCUUAAAAUCAGUUUUGAACUUUGGUCAUAGAGUCUUCAUAUUUCAGUAUCUGGUGGUCCCUAUGGCUUAUACAUAACUUUGUAAAAAGAAAAAAAAAAUUUUUCUGAUGCUUUGAAUAUAGUUUUGAAAGGAGUUUUGACUUUUUUCCCCCUCAUUCAUCUCAGUAGAGUGUACUAUUUCACAAUACAAUUUUUGUCAUUAAAAUUAUCAUAUUCUUUAUUAUAUAACGUUAACAAUUGAGUUGAUCUGUUUAAAAUAUAAAUCUCAAGUUAAUUAAAAAUAAGCUUUUCAAAAAUGUAUUAUAUUUAUAACAAAUGUACUGUAAAUAGAAUAAAGACAUGCUAUUCACUGUAUAGAGUAUCUGUUGAUUAGAAAGUCUGGUUUCAAAAUAACUUUUUAUUCAGCGAAUGGGCAUUUGGACAUAGGAAAGUUCAAUUCAGCCCUGCUGCAGAUAAAGAAAUGGGAGCAAGGGUGUUUCAAAUGAAGCUCUCUUGUAAUUGGAGAAGGAGGGAAGACAGGGUGUAGGGGUGGGUGGCAGGGAGUACAAGAGCCAGGGUCAGCCAAGUCUGGAGCAGAUGGGGUCCUUGUGCCAUUGACAGCUACCAUGGUUUGUUCCAUCUCAAUCCCGGCACUAAUCAGAGCAUACCGCACCAAAGUGGGGAGAGAUCAAAAGACCCCGUUUUCAGACAGAAGAUUCCAAACUUGUACUUGAAACAACUCUUCUUGAGAGAGGGGUGGUUAGUCUGUGUGCCUCUCUGCAACUGCUGCUUAUGCUUCUGGAUCUAAAGUGGGUCUCUGGCUUCUCAGCUCCUUCCACUCUGUGUCUUAGCAGGUGUGGGACAAGGUGGAGAGGAAGGUCACAUUCUAAGGACACUCAUUCCCUUCUUGAGAGUUUAGGGCCAUGGGCUUAUAAAAAAGUCUGAGGAGCAAAGGAAUAACAAGAAUGAGAAGGAGGCAUAAUCACAGUGGUAUCUCAUAUUUAAACCACUCAGCUGAAUAUUAAAUUGAACAGAUUGUUAGACACUAAUAAAAAAAUUAAACUACAUAAACCUACAACUGAAUAUAUUAAAAGUAAAGGUAAUAAAGCACUCAAAAUUACCUUGUAAAUAUUACUCAAGAUUAUUUCUAUUGCAUCUGUAUCCUGGAAAUAUGUAAUGGUGUGUUUCUGCUCAUCUCUUGCCAACCCCGCAUUCAGUGACUUGCUGGUAGCUUGAAAUCGAUAAUAGUGGAAUGUUUACCUCAGGAAAAUCGGCAAAUGCUAUACACCAGGGCUUGAUUUAUUUUUGUUGUCUAUGCUAGACCUAAGAAAGUGUUGGAGAAAAUGUUAGUGAUGCGUAUUAAAUUUAAAAGUGUUGCGUAUUUGUAGCUAUUAGGAGUAGCACAAAUAGUUUAGGAAAAUAUUCCUGCAGUAUCUGAAAAGUGUUAACACUUUUCAACUGUUAACCCAGUUCAACAAAGAAGUUGCCUAUAUCACUGAUGAACUAGUGAAGAUCCAACAUGUGUUUUCUCACUUCCUCUUCCUCCUUAAUAGAAACAAAAAUAUCAACCAGCAUUCAUACUAAAAUUAUUCUUGCUUAUCAGUUGCAACAUAGGUUUGUUUUCUAUACAAGAGCUCAGCAAAAAUCAAACUACCCUGAGAAUCAAUUGACUUUUUGGAAUUUACAAAAGAGUAUUGCAUAUUUUAUUUUACUUGUAAAGUGUGUGCUAUACAAACUUUACACAAACGCAGUUUAAAAGAUUUUUUUUUCCCCCUGGAGAAUAAUUUGAUAAACAUUCAUCAGCGUACCUCUGGGCGUAGACCAUGAGAAAUAUUCUGACGUCUACAUUGCAGUUGGCCAAGAACUAAGGAAUCUUAUGGAAUCUUCCAGCUUUUAGAACCCAGUAGAGCAGUGGUUCUCAAAAUGUAGGCACAUAAUCAUUAGGGCAUUACUAAAAGUGUAAUAACAGAGGUUCUACCUCCUUAACCCAAUUUUGUUGGUCUGGUUUGGGGAUGAAACUUUGUUUUUGUUGUGAAUUUCCAUUUGUUUUCAAGUCUGGAUUUUAACAAGCCCCGGUUCUGAAGAAAGGAUCUGCAUGGUACACUUUGGGAAACAUUGUCCCAGGAAGCCUGAGAAGCACUUUAUAACGUCGAUUGAAUUGUCAGGCACAUCAUGGAAAUGUUAAUCUUUCAAAGUUCUAGGUAGCUAGGCCAGUGUUUUAAACACAUGCCCCUAAGAUAUUGAUUUGUUCAAAGAGUAAUUUUCUACUUCAAGGAUAUUGAAAUAUUGAGUUUCUGGUAGCUCAUUUGUUCAGUUAGGUUAAACAUUUAAUAAGGCUGGGGUUGACAAUCUCAGCUUGCCUAUCAAUUUUAUUAUUUCUUGGCUAUUGAUCAGAACUAUGAACUCUUACAAAGGUUUUGGUGUUGGUUGGCCUAUUUUGCCAUUCACAAUUAUUAGGUUCUUUUGGGCAGAUACAUGCAGUCCCUACUAGGUAUAGGUAGAUGAGAGUUAUAGAUAAGAUGACCACAUAAGUUUUCAUCCCAAAUGAGACAUUUUGAGAAUGAAGGAGGGCACUAUUAACAAUUACAAUUAUGGGGACAAUGGGAUAAACUGGGUCUGUUCUGGGCACCGAGAUGUAGGGGCCAAGGGAACGCUUCCCCUCUGCCUUCAAAAUGUUCACUGAAAAUAAACUGACAAUAAGCGGAUAUAGAAAAAGGCAUGUGAAACUUAUUUAACCUGCUUAAGCACAGGGGAGUCACAUGAGAAUGAUUUCCCAGUAACCCAGUGAGGUCCAGAUGCUACUAUACACUUCACAGGGGAAAGGGAGACUUGAGGUGUGGCAAUUUUGAGGAGUAGUAAAUGAUUGUUAGUGGAGGUGAAUGAACCUGGAGGCAGUAACCUGUAAAUGAUUCUCUUUGGAAUUUGAAUGAGCCCAAGAGGCAAACAUUGUCAGGCCUCUGAGCCCAAGCUAAGCCAUAAUAUCCCCUGUGACCUGCAUAUAUACAUCCAGAUGGCCUGAAGCAACUGAAGAAUCACAAAAGAAGUGAAAAUGGCCGGUUCCUGAUGACAUUACCUUGUGAAAUUCCUUCUGCUGGCUCAGAAGCUCCCUGACUGAGCACCUUGUGACCCCUGCCCCUGCCUGCCAGAGAACAUCGCCUUUGACUGUAAUUUUCCACUACCCACCCAAAUCCUAUAAAACGGCCCCACCCCCAUCUACCUUUACUGACUCUCUUUUCGGACUCAGCCCACCUGCACCCAGGUGAAAUAAACAGCCUUGUUCCUCACACAAAGCCUGUUUGGUGGUCUCUUCACAUGGACGCACAUGACAUUUGGUGCCACAGACCCGGACUUCUUUGGGACACCAGUCCCCUGUCCUCUCCCUCACUCUGUGAGGAGAUCCACCUACAACCUCGAGUCCUCAGACCAACUAGCCCAAGGAACAUCUCACCAAUUUCAAAUCGGGUAAGCUGUCUUUUCACCUCUUCUCCAGCCUCUCUUGCUACCCUUCAAUCUUCCUCUCUCACUACCCUUCAGUCUCCCUGUCCUUCCAAUUCCAGUUCUUUUUCCUCUCUAUUAGAGACAAAGGAGACACGUUUUAUCCAUGGACCCAAAACUCCAGCACCAGUCACAGACUCAAGAAGACAGUCUUCCCUUGGUGUUUAAUCAUGCAGGGACGCCUGCCUGAUCAUUCACCCACACUCCACCGGUGUCUGAUCACCACGGGGACGCCUGCCUGAUCAUUCACCCACACUCCACCGGUGUCUGAUCACCGCGGGGACGCCUGCCUGACUAUUCACCCACACUCCACCGGUGUCUGAUCACCGCCGGGACGCCUGCCUGACUAUUCACCCACACUCCACCGGUGUCUGAUCACCGCGGGGACGCCUGCCUGAUCAUUCACCCACACUCCACCGGUGUCUGAUCACCGCGGGGACGCCUGCCUUGAUCAUUCACCCACAUUCCCUUGGUGGCAAGUCAAUUGGAGGGACACGUGCUUUAGCUGCUCACCACCCCCCUUCUCCGUGUCUCUACCCUCUCUUUUCUCUUGGCUUGCCUCCUUCACUAUGGGCAACCUUCCACCCUCCAUUCCCGCUUCUUCUCCCUUAGCCUGUG